This is a long non-coding RNA of Chenopodium quinoa (quinoa), 1007 nucleotides long. RefSeq lists it as uncharacterized. The record is from RefSeq and is a predicted model, not a curated record. NCBI's taxonomy places the organism in Eukaryota, Viridiplantae, Streptophyta, Magnoliopsida, Caryophyllales, Amaranthaceae. The transcript is spliced from 2 exons.
UUCAGUUUAUUUCUUAUUUAUUUAUUGUUCUUUUAUAAUGAUUUUGUGUUUUUUUAAAGUAUUUAUUACGAUUUAGGGUUCAUAUAUUUCGAUUUGGGUGUUUUUCGAAUUACUUAUUACAUUUUAGGGUUUUGUACUAAGAUUUGGGUUUUUUUUUCUUUUUUAUAAUUUUUAAUCUAAUUGUAUGAUUUAGGGUAUUUUAUAAUUUAUUUAGGUAUUUUAUGUGUAAUGUUAUAUGUAAUUUAAGUGUUCAAUUAAUGAUUUAGAACUCAGUUUUAUGAGCCCAAUUCGAUUAUUUCAUUUACUUUUAUGCUUAUAAUAUUUACUUUUGUACUUAUAUUAUUUACUUUUUGAAUUGAUAAUGAUUAAAUUUGCAUUUUGUUGUGUGGUGUUGAUGUUUAUGGCUGCCCUGGAGAGUUGUUGUUUGGUAGUAGCAACAAGGGCACUGCAGAUUGUUGUGGCCUUGGGCGUUAUGUGAAUGGUGUGGGUCUUUGUAAUCAGGAAGCGAGGUUGUGGUGUUGGCUGGUUGUUGUUGAGUGUUGAGUGCUUAAACUGCACAAACUGAAAGACAUUGACAGAGAGAUGCAUUCUGUUUUAUUUGAAAUUAGAAAAAGGGAAGAGGAGUGUGCUAAACUUGCGGGAGAAAUGAAGCAGCAUCCAAAAGUACCCUCUAGGAUCACUGAGAUUACAAAGAAAAGUCGGAAAUUGGACACAGAUAUUGAUCGCAUUUCGAAGGAAACAAGAGAGCUUAAGUUGGAGAGUAACUCAAUUGAGGAACACCUUCAUCGUACAUAUGUAGUGGUUGAUGAAACAAUAUUAACGUGAACACUCUAAAACAAUAUGUACUUUAUGUAGUGGUUUGUGAAACAAUAUUAAGGUCUCAAUAAAAUUUUUGGUGUUUUCUUUUAAUUGUCAUUAACUUAUGUAACUUUGGCCUUGCUCUCUUCACUUGCAUUUACUAACUGAUUACUUGGUUAGUUUUUUAAAUAAAAACUGUUUCGAAUGUC